CCGUAGCUCAGUUGGUAGAGCAGCUCACUCGUAAUGAGCAGGUCGCAGGUUCAAUUCCUGUCAGU
This 65-nucleotide transfer RNA is filed under the name human gut metagenome. It matches the Rfam family "tRNA", at positions 7 to 64 of the family's 71-position model. Rfam says of the family: Transfer RNA (tRNA) molecules are approximately 80 nucleotides in length. Their secondary structure includes four short double-helical elements and three loops (D, anti-codon, and T loops). The record is from RNAcentral.